UAAUCUAACGAGCUAUGGGCUUGGAGGACAAUCAAGAUCGCAAUCUCUCGGUGGCCAGCUUAGCCCUGAAACUCAAGAUCAAGAUGUGGUAGAAUCGAGAAUAAAUAUUUUCUUUAUUAAUUUACUAAAACUUAAUCUUACUCGCUUUGUCAAUAAUUCGACAAUUUUUCAAUAUUAGCAAAGUCACACUAAAAUAGUCUAUAUCAGAUUUUUGGGCGAAAGUUUUGCCGAAGUACCUAAAACGUAAUCAUAAACAUCAUCAUUUCAGCCUAUCGCAGUCCAUUGCUGGACAUAGGCCUCCACAAGUUCGCAUCAAAAAAGACGUGAACUCAUGUGUGUUGCCCAUAGUCACCACGCUAAAAUAGCUGCGUUUAUUUCAAAUUAGUUCUGUUGGAUCGAUGUCUUCAGAGUCUGAUGGAGAGAGACUUGUGGUAGACGCCGUGCACGUAUUUGGUUCGUGCUCCUUCUUGUAGGCACACAGCUUGAAAAAUUUAGUUCGUGUUCUUAGAAAUGUAUCAUAAGAGUGAACAGCUCCAGAGUCUUUUUAGAAAAUAUUAAUAUGUAUCAUAAUACUGUAUAAAAAAGUAAAUAACAAAUAGUUGGAAAGUGUACAACUUUUUAGCCAGUUAAUUUUAUUAGGCAAAAGUGAUAUCUAAGAAAUCCUUACUAUAUAUGUAUAAUAUCUAUACGAGUAUAAGAGCAUAGUGUCACAAUAAAUUAAUAUUCUAUA
Molecule: unclassified non-coding RNA, 730 nt
Filed under: Melitaea cinxia (Glanville fritillary)
Lineage: Eukaryota; Metazoa; Arthropoda; Insecta; Lepidoptera; Nymphalidae
Description: misc RNA ENSMCXG00005016823.1
Source: RNAcentral